GCAUGGCUGAAUUCUGCAUUGCUUCUGUCAGUAGUAUGUGCAGUCAGACACCAUGCAAUAUUAUCUUUCACUCAUGCUGUGUAACUGGUGGUGAGAGCUCAACAUCUCACCUACCAUAAAGAUGAGUGAGUACAACA
Scleropages formosus (Asian bonytongue) is the source of this 137-nucleotide small nucleolar RNA. Ensembl annotates it as small nucleolar RNA SNORA15. The record is from Ensembl. NCBI's taxonomy places the organism in Eukaryota, Metazoa, Chordata, Actinopteri, Osteoglossiformes, Osteoglossidae.